Molecule: long non-coding RNA, 1953 nt
Organism: Hippopotamus amphibius kiboko
Lineage: Eukaryota; Metazoa; Chordata; Mammalia; Artiodactyla; Hippopotamidae
Exons: 5
Source: RefSeq, a predicted model, not a curated record
GUCGCUGUCCAGGAAGAUCUCCCCCGGGGGGUAGUCGCCAUCACUGGCCGCUGGAGGGAGAGUCACAGCCCCGUCACCCCGCACUGAGGAGCCCCCACGCCAAGACCCCAUCCAGAGCUCCAGUCCUGGUGCAGGACUGAGCGGGAAGCAACCACCGGACAGCGCCUCCCUGGACUCUCCGCACUGGCUCCUGGCCAACGGCGGGGGCCGGGUGCUCACCGGGGAUGCUGGAGAUGCACAGCACGUGGGCGUUGCACACGGUGAACUGGUCCACGACGGUACCCGGCUGGUUGGCGUCGAUGAUCACCACCUUGCUGGUGGUCAGGGUGCUGACUGGGCACAGCAGAGACAUCUGGACGGCAGAAGCAGAAGGCAGCCCUGGCCCCGCCUGCCACUCUAACCUUCUUCUUCUCCGGGGACGCGUGGUUGCUCUUGGCCUCUCCUUCUACUUCCCGAUCACAGGCUCCCACCAGGAAGGACCCAGCACCCUUAAUCCCCCCAGAAGAGAGGGAAGUGUGGGGGCAGUCAGCCUCAAUCCUGCCCCCAGGACCUCCUAGACCGACCGCAGCUCAGACGAGACAGGAGCACUCUUCAGGGCCCUGCAGGAGGCCCACCUGAUCAUCUCGGUCCAUCGCACGGCCUCCUGCAGCUCCAUCAGCCGCUCCUUGUACUGGUUGCGCUCCAUGAGCACGCGGGCCAUCUCCACCCGCGUGAAGCGGCGGCGCUGCGCCAUAGGGAUCUUGUCCUGCGGGGAGAGCACAGCUGCUCAGCCAGCGAGGGGCAGCCUCUGGGAGGGGAGCACCCGAGGGAGCUUCCCCACAGAGCUUCAGGCAAAUGCCGUGGGGAGGGGUGGGCACGGGAACAGGAGCCGCCUGCCCCGACAGGGCCCCGUUCUUUCCAGAAGGCCACGUGACACACCCGAGGGCUACAACACACACAGUGUGUUUCCUAUACGCUCCCAGGCCCCCUGGCAAUCCCACAUGCCCUGGUCAACGCUAACAGGUGGGACUGGCCGUGGUGGCACAGCAGGAAGAGAGGUUCUGGGAAGGUCUGGUGAGCAGGACCCUGGUCUCUACGUUGGAACUGGACACGUGAGGUACCGGCGGAUCUGCACGGGAUCUGCCGUCCCUGGCAGGACUGUCUCCUCAUGCAGCCCUCCCGCGGCUGGUCUCCCUGAGUGCCCCCACCACUGGCCCUCGGAGUUCACAGAGCAGCUGGAGCUGAGGGGCUGCAUGGGAUGGGCGAGGUGAGCAGCUCGUUUCCCAAGUGCCUGUUAGGGGAUCGGCAUCCUGCUACGUGCACCACACGACCCCCCGGAUAACAGCUGAGGCGCGGUGAGGCCGGCGUCCAAACUUCCCCUCGGGAUAAAGACCCAGGCCUGCCCUCUCCGUAAGGAAGGUGGCCAGGUUGCUGGGCUGGGGCCCCUGUUCUGGAGAGGACCUGGGAAGUGCAAAGACCCCUACAAACCCUUCUCCACAGCCACCCUGGGAACAAUCAGUUACAAACCCCCAGAGAGCAGAGGGGCAGAGGGCUUUCCUCAGAACAUUCCAUGCACCUCCGGGGGAUUGUAAGGGUAGAUGAGGGGUCUGAGGGCCUCAGAUACUCAAGCUGUUCUGUCUCGGGGCAGCAGCUGGCCCGGGGAAGCAGGGAGACCCCACUUGUGACUGUGCAAUCCACAUCUGCUAGGACCUGGAUGAGAGGGGGCACCCUGCAGAGAGGGGGUAGGUUCUGACCUCACAAAGUCAUGGGGGCAGUGGAGGGUGCUGCUGGGUGCUGUCACACAGGAGGGGUGAGGAGGGCCCUGAGACCCAGAAGAACAAGCGCACCCCAGGAGCCCGCCCACGUUGCCCGCCCCUAUGCCCGCAUGUGAAUAGUGAAAUAUACCAAUUCUGUACAGAGACAGCUGCUUACAUCCUCCACCUCUUCUUUGGGUUCAUGGUGGGCAAUGAUGGC